Non-coding RNA from Malus domestica (apple), 572 nucleotides. Lineage: Eukaryota; Viridiplantae; Streptophyta; Magnoliopsida; Rosales; Rosaceae. The record is from RefSeq and is a predicted model, not a curated record.
UCGAGUCAACUCUCUUUAUUUUUCUCUUAGCUCUCUAUCUCUCUUGCUCUCUCUCCGAUCUCCCUCUCCUCGAUCUACACACACACACCUACCUCCACACCCAAAACAUCACGAUACCACCACCAACUCGAGAGGACCACCCUUCUCUCUCCCUCGUCUUUGUGCAGCACCAAAGGAACUGGUGCAAAAUCUUAGAGAUUCCGGCGAACCCCUGUGGGUUUUGAGCAAGACCCGGCCACCUCUGACCAUUUCACGGCAAAUCAAAGGUGCGAAUAUUAACGGCGAUUCCGUCUUUUCUAGUUUGGACGGCUCUUCGACGACGGAGUAUUUGCGAAGAUAGGAGUUGGCUUCUGGUUGAGAGAAAUAAUCUCUAGCUUUGGGCGCAGAGACAUGGUAGUUGGUUGUACGGGCCAAGAGAUAUAAUUAUUGAACACCACGGGUGGCUAGGAUACUACUAGUUAGCACACUAUAUACGAGAUAUGUUUUAUGAAGGUUUUAUGGCAUGCUAGGGUUUCGGAAACCUAUUACAUAUUAUGCUAUGAGUUUUCAUUAAAUUUUGGGGGUUAGUAUGU